RNAcentral lists this ribosomal RNA (536 nucleotides) under uncultured bacterium. Its description in RNAcentral is "partial 16S ribosomal RNA". It matches the Rfam family "Bacterial small subunit ribosomal RNA", at positions 355 to 902 of the family's 1533-position model. The record is from RNAcentral.
UGGGGAAUAUUGCACAAUGGGCGAAAGCCUGAUGCAGCAACGCCGCGUGAGGGACGACGGCCUUCGGGUUGUAAACCUCUUUUAGCAAGGAAGAAGCGAAAGUGACGGUACUUGCAGGAAAAGCGCCGGCUAACUACGUGCCAGCAGCCGCGGUAAUACGUAGGGCGCAAGCGUUAUCCGGAAUUAUUGGGCGUAAAGAGCUCGUAGGCGGUUUGUCGCGUCUGCUGUGAAAACCCGAGGCUCAACCUCGGGCCUGCAGUGGGUACGGGCAGACCAGAGUGCGGUAGGGGAGAUUGGAACUCCUGGUGUAGCGGUGGAAUGCGCAGAUAUCAGGAAGAACACCGAUGGCGAAGGCAGAUCUCUGGGCCGUAACUGACGCUGAGGAGCGAAAGGGUGGGGAGCAAACAGGCUUAGAUACCCUGGUAGUCCACCCCGUAAACGUUGGGAACUAGUUGUGGGUCCAUUCCACGGAUUCCGUGACGCAGCUAACGCAUUAAGUUCCCCGCCUGGGGAGUACGGCCGCAAGGCUAAAACUC